Molecule: unclassified non-coding RNA, 5134 nt
Filed under: Hevea brasiliensis (rubber tree)
Lineage: Eukaryota; Viridiplantae; Streptophyta; Magnoliopsida; Malpighiales; Euphorbiaceae
Source: RNAcentral
UCGAUAAAAUACAUCUUGUAUUUGGCUCCAGUGCAGGAGUUUUUGCUUGGAUGCUCAAAUUUCCUAAAUUCGAAAACAGAUUUUCCUUCUCUGGAUUUCACUUUCUCUCUCUAGAUCGAUCUCAGGCUCAGGGCUUCACCUUCGUUUAUCGUCUCGUCGUCGCGUACUGUUGUUACUUUAUCGUCCAUGUUAUCUCUGGUUUUCUUAUCAUCUUGGAGAUUUCAUCUUUCUUUCAGAGUAGGAUCGAGAACUGUUAUUGAGCGGCUUACUUGAAUUCAUGGGUUUAUUUUAAUCACUGUGAUGUGAAUAUGGUUUUUGGAAGUGAGUGUAAGCGAAAAGGAUUAUAAGUUUCAAGCAAUUUUAUCGUAUUCACUUAUUUAUGCUUCAAGGUUGAGGUAGCUUGGAGGAUGAAUAGAAAUAUAGUUUUUGUGCGAUUUGGUGGUAUCUUUUGAUCAUGUUAGAGUUGAUGGAAUGAGAAAGAAUAGAAUUUGAAAGAUGGAUGAUGAUAGAGAAAUUGGGAUGUUGCUUCCUGGUUGGAACAAUCCAACUGAGUCUCGCAUUUUUAUUUUAUCUUGCUUUAUUGCUGCUUUAGUUGGUAUUUUGACAAUAGCUUACACGGCUUUCCAAUGGAGAAGAAACAUUAAUCUAAAUUGGAUGAAAGCGAUAGCCAGGUCAAAGAAAAACCCAAAGGCAAGGCACAAGGUUCCUGUAGCUCUUCAUAAUUGGGUUCUUGAAUCUAUAUCUCGUGGAAAGAAUCUAAAUUGCUGUGUCUGCUUAAACUCCAUGACUCCUCAAACUCUUGGUCCUAUGGUGGCAUCAGACAGUUUUAUUCACCAUUGUAGCACUUGUGGUGUAGCAGCACACCUAAGUUGUUCUUCAAGUGCACACAAGGAUUGCAAGUGUGUAUCUAUGGUUGGACUUGAGAAUGUGAUGCACCAAUGGGCUCUUCGAUGGACAGAGAUGACAGACCAACCUGAUGAAACUUCCUUUUGUAGUUCUUGUGAAGAGCCAUGUAGUGGGUCUUUUCUUAGUGGAUCCCCUAUAUGGUGUUGCUUGUGGUGUCAACGACUUCUACAUGUUGAUUGUCACAGUAGCACAUCUAAUGAAACCGGUGAUAUUUGUGAUUUAGGUCCAUUUAGAAGGCUGAUUUUAUCACCGCUUCAUGUUAAGGAAUUGAAUUCAUCAGGCGGAUUUUUGAGUUCUAUCACACAUGGAGCAAAUGAGAUUGCUUCUUCAGUGCGUGCAAGUAUUAGGAGUCAGAGCAAGAAAUACAAGCAUGGUAAUGAAUCCUCUGUUGACACAGGUAAUAGUGGUAGCACUUGUGACCCAUCUACAGAAAGCACAGCUGAUGCUCAUCCUACAGUAAAUGGUUUUCAUGGUGUGGGGGAAAGCUGUAAUGGUAGCUUGAAUAUGGGGAGUCCUCGCCAUGGUGGUAGUGUAGAUAGGAUGGACUCAAAACAUAGUUUUAAAAGAAGUGGCUCGCUUAAUCAGAAGGAUGAGUAUCAGAUAUUAGGAAUGAAACAGAGAUAUGAAAUAAUUGAUUUGCCUCCUGAUGCAAGACCAUUGUUAGUCUUCAUCAACAAGAAGAGUGGGGCUCAGCGUGGAGAUUCCCUCAGGCAGCGUUUGAACUUUCUUUUGAAUCCUGUUCAGGUAUUUGAAUUGAGCUCAACAGAGGGGCCAGAAGUAGGCCUUUAUUUUUUCAGGAAGGUGCCUCACUUCAGAGUUCUUGUAUGUGGUGGAGAUGGUACUGUUGGUUGGGUUUUGAAUGCCAUAGACAAGCAAAAUUUCAUUUCUCCUCCACCUUUAGCUAUUCUUCCUGCUGGAACUGGAAAUGACCUGGCUAGGGUACUAUGCUGGGGAGGUGGUCUGGGCUCAGUUGAGAGACAAGGAGGUCUUUGCACGUUAUUACACCAUAUAGAGCAUGCUGCAGUAACUAUUCUUGAUCGGUGGAAGGUGGCUAUUGUAAAUCACGGAAAGCAACUUCAGUCGCCUAAAUUUAUGAACAACUAUCUUGGAGUUGGGUGUGAUGCAAAAGUUGCACUGGAUAUCCACAAUCUGAGGGAGGAAAAUCCAGAGAAAUUUUAUAACCAGUUUAUGAACAAAGUUCUCUACGCAAGAGAAGGGGCCAGGAGUAUAAUGGACAGGACAUUUGCUGACUUUCCAUGGCAAGUUAGAGUGGAAGUAGAUGGUGUCGAAAUAGAGGUCCCUGAGGAUGCUGAGGGGGUACUUGUUGCAAACAUUGGAAGCUAUAUGGGUGGUGUAGACCUUUGGCAAAAUGAGGAUGAAUCCUAUGAUAAUUUUGAUCCGCAAUCCAUGCAUGAUAAGAUACUAGAGGUUGUGAGCAUAUCUGGAACAUGGCACCUUGGAAAGCUUCAGGUAAAAUACUUGAAAAAACUUGUGUGCAUUUGGAUUUCUUUUCCUUUUUUGUUUCUUCAGUUCAGUUGACUCUAACUAGGACUUGAACUCGAGACCACACAAUUCUAAGGAUGAGCUCAUUGGUUGCAUGUGGAUUUUUUUUCUAACUGAACUGUCGUGUCUUUUCCAGAAUAAUGAAAUUUGCAGGUUUUUCUUGCAACUCAGAUGAUACUUCUUCCGGUGAAAUUUAUUUGUGAAUUUCCAUUAAGGCUUGGCUCAUGAGAAUAAACUUUUAGGUCUAUGUAAACCCAUAUAUAGAUCACCUUGUUUUAUAAUAUUAAUGCCUGGAAGCAGAACCCAGCUCUCAGUUAAACACUCAAAAGUAGAAAUUUUGUCAGUGCCCUCUUUGAAUUCAAUUACUAUAUUAGUUUUCCAAAUAGCCGUGUUGAUUUCAUCAGAGCAGAGAACAUAACUUUGGUUCACACUGGCUCAGAAUUCCUUACAACCAAAAUAUGUUUAGUUUUAUGUCCUGAUUUUGAGCUGUUGUUUGUGUGGGUAGGUGGGUCUUUCUCGUGCUCGAAGGCUAGCACAGGGCCAGUCAAUAAAGAUACAGCUUCUUGCUGCAUUGCCUGUACAGAUUGAUGGAGAACCUUGGUUUCAGCAGCCAUGUACUUUGGUUGUAUCCCAUCAUGGACAGGUUCUUUCUUUCUCUCUCUCUUUCUCUCAUUGUUUUAAAUAGUGGCAAGUUGGAUGCAUUAGAUUCUGGCAUUAUCUCAUUUUAGUUGUGUACAUAUAUCCAAAUGCUCCCCAAUUCUCAAAUGUAGAAACAGAAGUACUGCAAUAAUGUUUACUAGUUUUAGAUAAGGUUUGGUUUCAGCCGUUGAUGAAGCAGCAUUGUGUGUGUGUGUUUUUUUUUUCUCCUCAAAUAUUAUUUUGUAUUACAGUACCCGGGAACAUUUUUUUUUAUGAUGUUAUUGAAGAUAAAAUGUUCUCUUGAUUUGUUUUAGCUUUGCCAGUUGUACAUCAAUGCAUCAGCAUCCACCAUGCUUGAGGCAGUUUUAUUUUUAGCACAAUCCUGUGAUGCUUAUGCAAUCACUUUUAAGCUGUCUGUUAUUUUAGUAAGUGUCUCAACUUAAUUGACUACAUUUUAUUUGAUCAACUUAGUGCUGCAAAUGCCUCAAGUGGAUCUUUAUAGUAUCUUUUCUGGACAGUUUCUAAUUAUUAAUAUCAUGCUUCUUUUCCAGUACAUAUCCCUCAUGUGGGAUUGGACUGCAUGAAGGGGGAUUUUGUGCUUAAACUUUAAAAUUAUGUGAAUAUGCAUUUUGGCCUCUUGAUGCUUUCACACAGUGCUUUCCCUUUUUGGCAUCCGAGGGCCAUCCUUUGCUUUCCCUCUCCCUCUUUCUCUCACACACGUACAAAGUGUAUGCUAAAAAAUAUUUAUAAUUAACAGAAGCAAACUCACAAACUCCUUCCUUUUUGCUUGACAGGCUUUCAUGUUAAAGAGGGCAGCUGAGGAACCUCUUGGUCAUGCAGCUGCCAUAAUUACUGAUGUACUUGAGAAUGCUGAAACUAACCAUGUAAUUAAUGCUUCACAGAAGAAAGCACUUCUUCAAGAAAUGGCACUUAGGCUGACCUAGAGGUCAUCACUGGCCACCUUGAUAGAUAUUGUGGUUUUGAUCAUCGCUGCCUCAUGAAAAUAUUGCUCGUUUUACAUUGUUGCUUGUAUCUCUUCAUACAAUUGUCAGGUGUUUUGGUGUUUUAGCUGAGGCGAGUCUGUAAAUUCAGUUUACAACUAAUAGUUUUCCCCAUGUUGAAAAUUGGCGGAAAGGGGAAAUUUUGGAUUUGUUGUGAAAGAAAUGUAGAAAUAUGACAGGAAAAAGUUGAUUAGUAUCCCUUGCUUUUGUACCUUCCACUCGAUUCCAUAAGUAGCCUGGUUUUGAGAGUUUAGUGCCAUUCAACUAUCUUUCUCUGUCUCUCUCUCUGGCUCUUUGUCACACACACAAAACGCAUAUGCAAUCGAAUGUACCACAUUGUAUGUCACAGGUGAGAUGUAUAUUCCUGAUUGGACUAGAUUAAGGUGGUAAAUGGUAACGUUCUGUGAUAUAUGAGAGUUCUGGUGUGCGUAGCUUACUGCAUUGCGUAUGAAAAAAUUUUAGAUGAUUCACGCCAUAUAAGACAAGGUUUUAACAUCCUAUUCUUAUGUAGGACAACAGGUUCUGCAACGCUUCAUUGGAUCAUCUGCUGUGGUUGUUCAGUGAACAAGUUGAUUAACUUCGUGUACCGAGUUUAACCUUCUUCUUCCACAGCUUGCUCACUGAUCCCCCACGGGCUGCCCCUGUGCCUGCCUUGCUUGACCUAUUGUCAAGAGACCUUCGAGUGAACCUGGAACGCAUAAUUUUCUUUGGCGUUUUAGCAUCUUCUUUGUAAAAGCUAUCCCAAUGAUGGCUGUAGAAGGGGGAUUUCAAGUGGGAUUGUAGAAUAUCGAAGUAGGCGAUGAGCAUUCAAGCAUUGCAUGGCCUUGUUUAGAUGGUUGGUGGUGCUGUGAUUAUGCCAGGGGCUCAGCCUGAGACUGGGUUUGGGGAAAUGGGUAGGAGGGGGCCUUCGGCUUCUCCUCCUCGUGGGAUGUCCACCUAUUGAGGCAAGUUUCUUUGCUUCAAAGCCUCUCCCAUCUUUGAGACUUGGUGUUUGGUAAUGGUUCUUUUGGCUUUAAUUGACUUAAUACGGGUAUAUUAAUCAACUUAGGUUUUUGUCCACGUGUUGCGAACAUCUAGUUGUUAUC